Long non-coding RNA from Betta splendens (Siamese fighting fish), 318 nucleotides. RefSeq lists it as uncharacterized. The record is from RefSeq and is a predicted model, not a curated record. The transcript has 2 exons. NCBI's taxonomy places the organism in Eukaryota, Metazoa, Chordata, Actinopteri, Anabantiformes, Osphronemidae.
GUUUGGCCACCUGAAAGCGAGCUUGAGAUCCGCCAGCUCGCUGUCUUUGAGCUUCAGGUCGUCCUCCAGCUUCUCGACGAUCACCGAGUACGACUCGCUGACCUUCUUCUUCCACUCAUCUUCACAGGCCGACAACGGGCGGUCCAGAUAAAGGGGGAUCAUGACUGGGCUAAAAAUAAACACCUCGGAGUGGAAUGCCUGACAACUAGGACAACUGAUCUCCCUCCAAAUGUGAGGAAGUGUGUGUGUGUGUGUUGGUGUCCUGUGCUGCAUUAUACAUACAACCUUAUUAUGAUCAGAAUAAAGGCCUUUAUUAGA